GAUGAAGAACGUAGCGAAAUGCGAUAAGUAAUGUGAAUUGCAGAAUUCAGUGAAUCAUCGAAUCUUUGAACGCACAUUGCGCCCGCCAGUAUUCUGGCGGGCAUGCCUGUUCGAGCGUCAUUUCAACCAUCAAGCCCCAGGCUUGUGUUGGGGACCUGCGGCUGCCGCAGGCCCUGAAAACCAGUGGCGGGCUCGCUGUCACACCGGGCGUAGUAGAUUUUAUCUCGCUCUGGGCGUGCUGCGGGUUCCGGCCGUUAAACCACCCUUUUAACCCAAGGUUGACCUCGGAUAAGGUAGGAAGACCCGCUGAACUUAAGCAUAUCAAUAAGCGGAGGA
RNAcentral lists this unclassified non-coding RNA (336 nucleotides) under soil metagenome. RNAcentral describes it as "partial contains 5.8S ribosomal RNA, internal transcribed spacer 2, and large subunit ribosomal RNA". The stretch from base 1 to 120 matches the Rfam family "5.8S ribosomal RNA", at positions 35 to 154 of the family's 154-position model. The record is from RNAcentral.